GCGGAGGUCGCCAAGCAUGGUCAAAGGCGCAAGGUUGAGGUCCUUGUCACUGAGGUGUUCGUGGGUUCAAAUCCCACCCUCCGCACCA
This 88-nucleotide transfer RNA is filed under the name Candidatus Bathyarchaeota archaeon. RNAcentral describes it as "tRNA-Leu". It matches the Rfam family "tRNA". From Rfam's summary of the family: Transfer RNA (tRNA) molecules are approximately 80 nucleotides in length. Their secondary structure includes four short double-helical elements and three loops (D, anti-codon, and T loops). The record is from RNAcentral. Lineage: Archaea; Thermoproteati; Candidatus Bathyarchaeota.